CAGCAGCCGCGGUAAAACGUAGGUGGCAAGCGUUGUCCGGAAUUAUUGGGCGUAAAGGGCUCGCAGGCGGUUUCUUAAGUCUGAUGUGAAAGCCCCCGGCUCAACCGGGGAGGGUCAUUGGAAACUGGGAAACUUGAGUGCAGAAGAGGAGAGUGGAAUUCCACGUGUAGCGGUGAAAUGCGUAGAGAUGUGGAGGAACACCAGUGGCGAAGGCGACUCCCUGGUCUGUAACUGACGCUGAGGAGCGAAAGCGUGGGGAGCGAACAGGAUUAGAGACCCCUGUAGUCCCUGUCUCUUAUAA
Molecule: ribosomal RNA, 301 nt
Filed under: uncultured bacterium
Lineage: Bacteria
Description: partial 16S ribosomal RNA
Rfam family: Bacterial small subunit ribosomal RNA
Source: RNAcentral